UAGGGUUUAGGCUCCCCGGCAUAGAUAUAAAACCAGGCUCUAGGGUUUCCACUCCGCCGCGCCGCCCCCUCCUCCCACCCUGCCUCGUCGCGGAACAGUGCUCCCACCGCCGGCGCCAUGAGUAAGUUGCAGAGUGACGCCCUGAGGGAGGCAAUCACAAACAUUAUCAAUGACUGCCGUGAGAAGAACCGCAAGUUCGUUGAAACCAUUGAGCUGCAGAUUGGUCUGAAGAACUAUGACCCGCAAAAGGACAAGCGUUUCAGUGGUUCUGUUAAGCUUCCUCACAUCCCUCGCCCAAAGAUGAGGGUUUGCAUGCUUGGUGAUGCCCAGCAUGUUGAAGAGGCAGGGAAAAUGGGCCUAGACUGCAUGGAUGUGGAAUCUCUUAAGAAGAUGAACAAAAACAAGAAGCUAGUCAAGAAGCUUGCAAAGAAGUAUCAUGCUUUCCUUGCAUCUGAGGCUAUCAUUAAGCAGAUUCCCCGUCUUCUUGGACCUGGUCUUAACAAGGCAGGAAAGUUUCCAACUUUGGUGUCUCACCAGGAAUCCCUUGAGUCCAAGGUUAAUGAGACCAAGGCCACAGUCAAGUUCCAGUUGAAAAAGGUGCUUUGCAUGGGUGUUGCCGUUGGCCACCUGGGUAUGGAGGAGAAGCAGAUCUUCCAGAACGUGCAGAUGAGCGUGAACUUCCUCGUCUCUCUGUUGAAGAAGAAUUGGCAAAACGUGAGAUGCUUGUACCUGAAGAGCACGAUGGGAAAGGUGUACCGGUUGUUCUAGACUCUAGUCUUCUAGGAUUUCCAGGAGAUUGACAACUUGGGAACUUUUGUUGCUUUCUCAAUUAUCAAAUUUUCGUGCGGGACGAGUGACAAUUAUUGUCUUGUACUGAGAUGGUUUGUUCUAUUGUCUGGAACUUGAUGACAUUUUAUCCGUUGCCCCUGUGCCUUCCUACUGCUCUGCC
Molecule: ribosomal RNA, 949 nt
Filed under: Triticum aestivum (bread wheat)
Lineage: Eukaryota; Viridiplantae; Streptophyta; Magnoliopsida; Poales; Poaceae
Description: partial small subunit ribosomal RNA
Source: RNAcentral